Long non-coding RNA from Solanum lycopersicum (tomato), 526 nucleotides. RefSeq lists it as uncharacterized. The record is from RefSeq and is a predicted model, not a curated record. NCBI's taxonomy places the organism in Eukaryota, Viridiplantae, Streptophyta, Magnoliopsida, Solanales, Solanaceae.
GCAUAUCGGUGCGACUCAAGUGCAUCAAAUUCAAAAAGAAGAAUAACGGUGUGAAUAAAUUUCAAAUACCCGAUUCAUCCAUUAAGAACCGCGGGAUUGGGCCUAAUAAUAACUGGACCCAAGUUGAAUUACAUUUUAGGCCCAUCAAUGAUCCCACGUCUUUAGGGUUUACUAUAUAAUUGAUCUAAACCCUAUUAGCAUCUUCUUUCAUCACUGCCGCAUUUGAUAUUCUCUCCCUGAGAAGUGAAGAAAACUCUCCGGUCAUCACCAAUUCAGAAUGAGAGCUAAGUGGAAGAAGAAGCGUAUGAGGAGGUUGAAGAGGAAGCGCCGAAAGAUGAGACAGAGAUCGAAGUAGAACCACAUUCCGCAGUUCUCAACGGUUUAUCUAUGCUUAUCGUCUUCUUUAGGUUUAUUGUGUUUAAAUUUUAGUUUGAAACUCUAGUAACAUUUUGAGUUGUUAUCUUGUUCUAAUUACACCGAAUUCAAAUUUUAUUAUCCGAUUUUGGCUAUGGAUUUACGCUUCGUA